GAUCUCUAUUGGCAGGAAACCAUUACUUAGAUCUUUGCAUCUCUCUGUGCAUUGAUUUGUAGUGAGUUCUCUGCCAAAGGAGAUUUGCCCGGUAAUUCUUCUGCACCAAUAUUUCAAAAAAAAAAGUUAGAUGUGAUUAAUCGGAAGACUAUUUUCACACAAUUUACAAUUAAGAAAUUCCUUUUUCUUGUCUUCGUGCGCAUUGGUUGAUGUUCAUGCAUGAAGAUGUGGGAUUCAUCGCUUCGUCUUUUUUGGAUAAACUAUUUCUCUCUUCGUAUUUGAAUCAAUGUAGAAGGUAGCUUUACCCCGAAUAGAAAGAGAAUGAAGGGUGUUGCCCAAGAAAAAGAAAGAGAAUGAAGGGUAAACAGCUAAUGGCGCUUACAUUUUAUAUGAAAAGAUACGUUUUAUGAUUUUUUUUUACGUUUUAUGAUUUUAAAAACUUAAUUAUCUUGAGAUAAAAUUUUAUAUGAGAACCGUAUUAUAAUACAUUUUUGAUUUCUUAUAAAUAAUAUUAUUGAAAUAAAUUUUCUAUCA
Long non-coding RNA from Raphanus sativus (radish), 534 nucleotides. RefSeq lists it as uncharacterized. The record is from RefSeq and is a predicted model, not a curated record. NCBI's taxonomy places the organism in Eukaryota, Viridiplantae, Streptophyta, Magnoliopsida, Brassicales, Brassicaceae. The transcript has 2 exons.